UACGGAGGGUGCGAGCGUUGUCCGGAAUCACUGGGCGUAAAGGGCGCGUAGGCGGCGCGAGUAGUCAACGGUGAAAGCCCGGGGCUCAACCCCGGGUCGGCCGUCGAUACUCUCGUGCUUGAGCACUGUAGAGGCAGGUGGAAUUCCGGGUGUAGCGGUGGAAUGCGUAGAGAUCCGGAAGAACACCAGUGGCGAAGGCGGCCUGCUGGGCAGUUGCUGACGCUGAGGCGCGACAGCGUGGGGAGCAAACAGG
RNAcentral lists this ribosomal RNA (253 nucleotides) under uncultured bacterium. RNAcentral describes it as "partial 16S ribosomal RNA". It matches the Rfam family "Bacterial small subunit ribosomal RNA", at positions 524 to 776 of the family's 1533-position model. The record is from RNAcentral.